UCCGGUUUGUCACCGGCAGUCUCCCAUGAGUCCCCAACUUAAUGCUGGCAACAUGGAACGGGGGUUGCGCUCGUUGCGGGACUUAACCCAACAUCUCACGACACGAGCUGACGACAGCCAUGCACCACCUGUGCACUGAUCCCGAAGGAGGACCGUAUUUCUACGGUUUUCCAGUGCAUGUCAAGCCCUGGUAAGGUUCUUCGCGUUGCAUCGAAUUAAACCACAUGCUCCGCUGCUUGUGCGGGGCCCCGUCAAUUCCUUUGAGUUUUAGCCUUGCGGCCGUACUCCCCAGGCGGGGUGCUUAAUGCGUUAGCUACGGCACGGAAGGAGUCGACACCUCCCACACCUAGCACCCAUCGUUUACGGCGUGGACUAC
RNAcentral lists this unclassified non-coding RNA (376 nucleotides) under uncultured Gaiellaceae bacterium. RNAcentral describes it as "contains 16S-23S intergenic spacer region". Lineage: Bacteria; Bacillati; Actinomycetota; Thermoleophilia; Gaiellales; Gaiellaceae. The record is from RNAcentral.